This 253-nucleotide ribosomal RNA is filed under the name uncultured bacterium. RNAcentral describes it as "partial 16S ribosomal RNA". It matches the Rfam family "Bacterial small subunit ribosomal RNA", at positions 524 to 776 of the family's 1533-position model. The record is from RNAcentral.
UACGUAGGGUGGGAGCGGUAAUCGGGGUUACUGGGCGUAAAGCGUGCGCCGGCGGUUUGGUAAGACAGAUGUGAAAUUCCCGGGCUUAACCUGGGAACUGCAUUUGUGACUGCCCGGCUAGAGUGCGGCAGAGGGGAGUGGAAUUCCGCGCGUAGCAGUGAAAUGCGUAGAUAUGCGGAGGCGCCCCGAUGGCGAAGGCACCUCCCUGGGCCUGCACUGACGCUCAUGCACGAAAGCGUGGGGAUCAAACAGG